UAAAUUUGUAUUAGGUUGGUGCAUAUGAAAUGUCGUUUUUUUACAUGCAAACGUUUUUCUUGUUUUUGUUAUGCUUUUGUUUUUGACAUAAUCUCUUUUAUAGUCGUACGACAAAGGUAGAAACACAAGAGAACGAAUGAUAUAGGCAAUUUGUAAUAAAAUCCGUCCCCUAAAAACGUAAGAAAUAACUAAUACUUAUUUCUGCCACUAGGGCGGCAUGACGAUCAAUGUGAUCAUUGCUUGGGAAGUUUAAAAGCUGAUAAAUCAUCUGACAGAGAUCGAGUCAUUGAUUUGAUAAGUGAAUAUUGCAUACGCCCGAGUGAGAACUUAUAUAAUCUUAUCAAUCAAUUAGAAAAUGUUGUUUUAACUGUUGUUGGGACUAAAACUAUUAGAUUUGAAUAUAGAACUAUUUCUUCAUAAAUUUAGAACUAUAAAUGUGUUAUAUACUUUACAUUGAGUAUGUACAAAUGAUUUUAUUUAACAUAUUGACAGCCGGCGAUUUAAAAGACAUUUAAAGCCUGAGCACAAACCGGCGCUCAAGCGAGACUCACUUUAGCAACUACAGCGCACUCUGGACUAAAACUUUAUUUCUUCCACAUUUGGGGGACAUUUUUUUAUACAGCGUUCGUUCUUCUGUGUUUCUACCUCCACCAGUCGCACUGACCAUUGCCAGAUUAACAUUUUAACAUAGGAGAUUUUUUCAAAUGUGUUCCCUUUUGUUAUUUGUUUUGAAUUUUGUUUUGAUAUGAAUUCCACCGAAAUUCGUGUAAUUUUAUUGUAUGAGUAUAAACUUGGUAAUAAUGCUGCAAAAGCGGCACGAAACAUAAACAAGGCGUUUGGGGAGAAUACUAUUAACGAUAGAAAAGUGCAGCGUUGGUUUAAAAAAUUUCGGUCUGGUGAUAUUUCACUACAAAACGAACCGCGAGGAAGACCCAAAACAAUCGUGAAAAAUGAUGAUCUAAAGGCAUUGGUGGAAGCGAAUCCAACUGCAUCCUCGACGGAACUUGCUAUCAGGAUGAAAGUUGACCAUACAACGAUAUUGCGGCAUCUUUCUCAAAUUGGCAAAGUGAAAAAAAAGAAUAAGUGGCUUGAUAGGGAUAAUCGUGAAAAAUGAUGAUCUGAAGGCAUUGGUGGAAGCGAAUCUAUCUGAAUCCUCGACAGAACUUGCUAUUAGGAUGAAAGUUGAUCAUACAACGAUAUUGCGACAUCUUUCUCAAAUUAGCAAGGUGAAAAAAAAUGAAUAAGUGGCCUGAUAGGGAUGAGGCUUAUGUUCAUAUUCCAAGGCCAUCACUUUAUCCACGGAAGAUAGUCUAAUGUCAGAGUUUAUUGAUUCUAAAGAUAGUUUUUUGAAGAGCAGGUAUUUAUGCUUUGAAGACUUGCUGGGAAAAGUGUACUGAAGCAAAUCAAACAUAUUUUGAUUAAAUAAACAGCUUUUGUAAAAAGA
Polistes dominula (European paper wasp) is the source of this 1444-nucleotide long non-coding RNA. RefSeq lists it as uncharacterized. NCBI's taxonomy places the organism in Eukaryota, Metazoa, Arthropoda, Insecta, Hymenoptera, Vespidae. The record is from RefSeq and is a predicted model, not a curated record.